This is a long non-coding RNA of Gallus gallus (chicken), 645 nucleotides long. The record is from Ensembl. Lineage: Eukaryota; Metazoa; Chordata; Aves; Galliformes; Phasianidae.
AUCAGAUACAGAAAUAAGCAUGCUUCCUUUUGUGUUUCAGCUAUCAUGUUUUGUUAUGUCAGACCCUGGGAUCAUGCUACCUUUGACUGGGUCUUUCUGAAGGGAACGUAAGUGAUCAGCAAUUUAUGCUGAUUCGAGUGACACAGCAGUUGGUGGACAGCAGAAGCAUACCACAAUAAGCUGUCCUUACAGCACCAGAAAUUGUAAUCAUUGAAGCCUUGCACAAGUACAUCUCAGCAAAAAAGAUGUGUGUAGAGAAUGUAGGGGUGGCAGGAAAAAGACAGCUCACAGCUCUCUAAGUGCCAUGGACCAAGCCAGGAAAGAAGCACCUGGUGUUGGUAGACUGAUAUUCUCAUUCAAGAGAAGAUGAGAGCUGUUUCCACUGCUGGAAGAAGAUCAAGGGCAGGGAAGCCAGGCAAUAGGACAAAAGCUGAACGCGGUAACUUCUAGUGCCGCUGUCUGAGGACAAACCAGUGGCUGCAUGGAAAUUCUGUUCUCUGGUGAUACAGGGUACGGGUGGAAGAGAUCUGACCUAAUCAGGACACAGUAGUUUAAAUGGUGUCUGGGUUGGAAAUGAGAUGGUCAUGGAGAGUAGAGAAGGGGAAAAAAAUGAAGAGCUUGUAGAGCACCAGUACAAACACUUGC